GCGGAGGAAAAGAAACUAACAAGGAUUCCCUUAGUAACUGCGAGUGAAGAGGGAAAAGCUCAAAUUUAAAAUCUGGCAGUGUUUCACUGUCCGAGUUGUAACCUAGAGAAGUGUAACCUGCGCUGGACCGUGUAUAAGUCUCCUGGAAUGGAGCAUCACUGAGGGUGAGAAUCCCGUCUUUGACACGGACCACCAGUGCAUUGUGGUUGUGCUCUCAACGAGUCGAGUUGUUUGGGAAUGCAGCUCUAAAUGGGUGGUAAAUUCCAUCUAAAGCUAAAUAUUGGCGAGAGACCGAUAGCGAACAAGUACCGUGAGGGAAAGAUGAAAAGAACUUUGGAAAGAGAGUUAAACAGUAUGUGAAAUUGUUGAAAGGGAAACGUUUGAAGUCAGUCGCGUCGGUUGGGGAUCAGCCUGACAUUGUUGGGUGUACUUCCUGGUUGACGGGCCAACAUCAGUUUUGAUUGCCAGAAAAAGGCCAAAGGAAUGUGGCACCUUUGGGUGUGUUAUAGCCCUUGGUCGUAUAUGGUGGUUGGGACUGAGGAAAGCAGCGUGCCGAAAGGCCGGGUUUCGACCACGUUCACGCUGAGGAUGUUGGCAUAAUGGCUUUAAGCGACCCGUCUUGAAACACGGACCAAGGAGUCUAACAUGCAUGCGAGUGUUUGGGUGGAAAACCCUUACGCGUAAUGAAAGUGAAAGUUGAGAUCCCUGUCGUGGGGAGCAUCGACGCCCGGACCAGAACUUUUGGGACGGAUCUGCGGUAGAGCAUGUAUGUUGGGACCCGAAAGAUGGUGAACUAUGCCUGAAUAGGGUGAAGCCAGAGGAAACUCUGGUGGAGGCUCGUAGCGAUUCUGACGUGCAAAUCGAUCGUCAAAUUUGGGUAUAGGGGCGAAAGACUAAUCGAACCAUCUAGUAGCUGGUUCCUG
This 923-nucleotide ribosomal RNA is filed under the name Amanita flavorubens. Its description in RNAcentral is "partial 28S ribosomal RNA". It matches the Rfam family "Eukaryotic large subunit ribosomal RNA", at positions 50 to 960 of the family's 3401-position model. Lineage: Eukaryota; Fungi; Basidiomycota; Agaricomycetes; Agaricales; Amanitaceae. The record is from RNAcentral.